Rosa rugosa (rugosa rose) is the source of this 1694-nucleotide RNA transcript. RefSeq lists it as uncharacterized. The record is from RefSeq and is a predicted model, not a curated record. Lineage: Eukaryota; Viridiplantae; Streptophyta; Magnoliopsida; Rosales; Rosaceae. The transcript is spliced from 3 exons.
CUCCAUUGUCUGUUUGGGGCGCCAUGGCGUCCAGCAUGGUUAUCAAGGUUCGAUAUUUUGGAACCUCAAAGGUUAAGGUUGGGGACAGAGAGAGGUAUUUGAAAGCUCCUAUUGAUGAGAAUGGACAACUGAGUUUUGACAUGGGUGGAUUGAGGGAGAAAAUCUGCAGUACUUGUUAUCUCCCACCUGGUUCAGACAUUACUCUAGUGUAUAUCGAUGAAGACGGUGAUGUAGUUACUCUUGUUGACGACGAUGAUCUGCGAGAUGCAAUGAGGCAGCAUCUGAAAUCCUUCAGGAUUGAUGUACUGAUGAACGAUAACGAAGUUUAUCGCAAAUCAAGCUCCAAAAGGAGUACUCGAGUGAUGAUGGAUUCUGUUGGAUCGAGUCUUGGCACUAGUGAUGACAACAUGGAGACCAACAGAGCUAGUACCAGUGGUUAUGCAACUCGUGAUAAUGAUUAUACAAGUAGCCCUUCUUUCCAUGAAUGCUCCUUCAUUGCAGAUGACCUGGUUAAUCCUACUGUUGCUUGUUUUAAAAGGAACUACUCUGAAGCCAUAAGUGGUAUGAUGCUUCAUACCGGUGCUUGCUGUGAUGGCUGUGGUUGCAAUCCAAUAACUGGAUCUAGGUUCAAGUCCAUUUUGUGAGGAACCUACUUAAAUCAUAGUAACAUAAUAUCCUAGUAACGAAAACAUUGUCCAAAUCUUAUCAAUCAUUGACAUUUGUUUCUGCAGAAGAGAAGAUUAUAACCUCUGCCGUGUCUGCAUUGCAAGUAGGGCCCUAGCUACAUAGGCUGAUGCUUCCCUCGAGAGAAAUCACUCUUUGAGAGCUUUCAAGAUUCAAACCUGAAUCUGCUUCAUGAAAAAUGUGGUCCUAAACUCUAAAGAACCUGGAAACAUAGAUGUGAAUCUUCAACGAGCAUUCAGUGGUGAUUUUUUUGCAGCUGAUAAGCUCUAAAUGAACAGCUUAAAACUAUGACCAGGAACUCCAAUCCCCUAAAUAUUACCUUGAUUAUGACCAGUUUUUCAGUCACAAUCCUAAUUUUUUUCUUUAAUUCUUUAAGAAUCAACUGUGUAUACUAUGAGCACACACGUUUGUUUUGGGCUUUUUAGUUCACCAACAAUAUCUUGUCUACUACCACCACCACCUGCUACAGUAAGUCUUGUUGGUUUUGUUUUGUCAAUUGGGUUGCUUUCUAAAACCCAUAAUGUAUUAGGCUUCAUGAAAGUGAAACAGAGCAAGAUAGAUUGUUUGUCACUCUGUCUCCAAUUUAUAAUUCUCCAUGUCUAUUAUACAUGUCAAUCAGUAUCAGAUCAAAAUACGAGUUCACAGUCUUGCAUAAGUUCAUAACAAGAAAUGUAUCUUGUUCAUCAGUGACACUAAACUUCGAAAUAGAAUCACUAGUCUUAAACAAAUGGUAACGAAGUCCGUUGAAUACCACUUUUCGGAACCAAUGGAUAGCAGAGAAGUUACUAGGGGUCCUCUGGAGGUUCUAAUUAAAUUGCAGUUCCAGUGUACGUACUCUUGCACCAACCUUCUGUAAAGUCUAAACUAAGCCAUGAACCAAAUUCCAAUUUGAGAGGGACAGCUAGUCUAACCCAUCUUUAUGCAAGAGCAGGCACUCAUUAGGCAUGUCAUUAGUUGCUCCUUAAUUCAAACCAUGAAAAAGGCAACCAACAGAGACAUGAAACCACUCU